This 846-nucleotide non-coding RNA is filed under the name Pseudocalotes microlepis (Burmese false bloodsucker). The record is from RNAcentral. Lineage: Eukaryota; Metazoa; Chordata; Lepidosauria; Squamata; Agamidae.
AAAUUUUUGGUCCUAGACUUAAUGUUAUCUACUCCAAGCCUAUACAUGCAAGCCUCCCCACCCCAGUGACCACCCGGCAUCAGGGACGUAAACCCUAAAACGCCGAGCCCCGCCACAUCCACACGGAAUAGUAGCAGUAACCAAUAUUAGGCCAUGAGCACACGCUCGACCAGACUACGGAAAACAGGGCCGGCAAAUUUAUGUGCCAGCCGCCGCGGUUACACUGAAGACCCAAAAUAACAACCCCCGGCACAAAUAAUGGUUAAAAAUGACCAACCACUAAGAACUAACCAAAACUGAUACGUGAAACAACACCAAACAGACGCCCAAAAAUCUUACACUCACGGACUUUUGACCCAUAAAGGUUAGGGCACAAACUAGGAUUAGUUACCCUACUAUGCCUAACUGCAAAUUUAUUAAGCCAAAAAAAUACAAGCCACCCCCAAACUUAAAGGACCUGGCGGUACUCUACAUCAACCUAGAGGGGCCUGUCCAAUAACCGACAACCCGCGUAAAACCAAACCUACUCUAGCCCCAAUAAGCCUAUAUACCGCCGUCUCCAGCACCUUUCACGAGAAACGCAGCACAAAAGUCACACACUAACACGUCAGGUCAAGGUGUAGCACAUGAGUGGGAUGAGAUUGGCCACAAUUCAACACGUUCAAUUGACCACAGUGAAACCUGUAAUAGUAAUAACGAAUUUAGUAGUAAGGAAGUUUAAUGAAUGCCUUCCUGAAACAUUUCCCCCAGCCCUCGAGUACGCACAUACCGCCCGUCAUCCCCUUUAACAAAUAUAAGGGGCAAGUCGUAACAUGGUAAGUGCACCAGAAGGUGUACUUAGAAGAC